Molecule: transfer RNA, 72 nt
Filed under: Batracomorphus chlorophana
Lineage: Eukaryota; Metazoa; Arthropoda; Insecta; Hemiptera; Cicadellidae
Also listed under: 2 other names
Description: tRNA-Lys
Source: RNAcentral
CAUUAAGAAUCUUUAAAGCAAGAAUUGGUCUCUUAAACCAAAUUAUAGUAAAUUAGCAAUUACUCUUAAUGA